CCGUGUUGAACGAUGCUCCGGUGUUCGA
Molecule: small RNA, 28 nt
Filed under: Bombyx mori (domestic silkworm)
Lineage: Eukaryota; Metazoa; Arthropoda; Insecta; Lepidoptera; Bombycidae
Description: ovarian small RNA-13928
Source: RNAcentral